CCUACGGGCGGCAGCAGUGGGGAAUAUUGGACAAUGGGGGCAACCCUGAUCCAGCCAUGCCGCGUGUGUGAAGAAGGCCCUCGGGUUGUAAAGCACUUUCAGUGAGGAAGAACGCCUGGUGGUUAAUACCCAUCAGGAAAGACAUCACUCACAGAAGAAGCACCGGCUAACUCCGUGCCAGCAGCCGCGGUAAUACGGAGGGUGCGAGCGUUAAUCGGAAUUACUGGGCGUAAAGCGCGCGUAGGUGGCUUGAUAAGCCGGUUGUGAAAGCCCCGGGCUCAACCUGGGAACGGCAUCCGGAACUGUCAAGCUAGAGGGCAGGAGAGGAAGGUAGAAUUCCCGGUGUAGCGGUGAAAUGCGUAGAGAUCGGGAGGAAUACCAGUGGCGAAGGCGGCCUUCUGGACUGACACUGACACUGAGGUGCGAAAGCGUGGGUAGCAAACAGGAUUAGAUACCCCAGUAGUC
RNAcentral lists this ribosomal RNA (465 nucleotides) under Vreelandella stevensii. RNAcentral describes it as "partial 16S ribosomal RNA". It matches the Rfam family "Bacterial small subunit ribosomal RNA", at positions 338 to 795 of the family's 1533-position model. The record is from RNAcentral. Lineage: Bacteria; Pseudomonadati; Pseudomonadota; Gammaproteobacteria; Oceanospirillales; Halomonadaceae.